CCUACGGGAGACAGCAGUGGGGGAUAUUGCACAAUGGCGGAAACUCUGAUGCAGCGACGCCGCGUGAAGGAAGACGGUCUUCGGAUUGUAAACCUCUGUCUUUAGGGAAGAAAAUGACGGUACCCAAAGAGGAAGCUCCGGCAAACUACGUGCCAGCAGCCGCGGUAAUACGUAGGGAGCGAGCGUUGUCCGGAGUUACGGGGUGUAAGGGGAGCGUAGGCGUGCUAGAAAGUUGAAUGUUAAAUCUACGGGUUUACCUUGUAGCUGCGUUCAAAACUUGUUGUCUUGAGUGAAGUAGAGGCAGGCGGAAUUCCUAGUGUAGCGGUGAAAUGCGUAGAUAUUAGGAGGAACACCAGUGGCGAAGGCGGCCUGCUGGGCUUUAACUGACGCUGAGGCUCGAAAGCGUGGGGAGCAAACAGGAUUAGAUACCCUAGUAGUC
This 439-nucleotide ribosomal RNA is filed under the name uncultured bacterium. RNAcentral's name for it is "partial 16S ribosomal RNA". It matches the Rfam family "Bacterial small subunit ribosomal RNA", at positions 338 to 795 of the family's 1533-position model. The record is from RNAcentral.